GUGAAACUUGUAGCUGGACUGAUUCUGAGAACCAAAUGCUAAUCCUAAGUAUUAGAAAAAGCUGGAAGCUGCUCUGGAUUAGCAUGUAAAACUUGGAGCAUAGAAAUGAGGGAGCAAAGGAGGGCCGCCAUCAGAGAGAGAAGAGUGUCUGAGCACUAGGUGUUAGCGAUCUGGCCUUCAGUCCAGCUAGAGUAUCAUAGUGGGAGCAGAGAGAAAGAGGUCACAAGACGGCCACGAAGGCCCAAUGCAGAGCACACCUACUGCACAUGACUCUGCACCUCAUGUCCAGUGUCACGGUCAGUUGAGGAAGUCACGUUACCAAGUCACAGUGCACCCCCCAGCUAGAUUACCUUCUGUGGAACCUGCUACAUCCUGGUAGUCAGGCCCUGGAUCCUCUGGCUCCGGUGCAUAAACGCCCCCUACAUCUUGGAUUUUAACUGUGUUUUCCUUGCUGCUUCCUCGUAUAGAGAGACGCUUCUACAGCUGCCUUUGACCACGACCUGAGUUGCUGUGACUACACACAUCGAUGUCUGCUUUUCUGCAUCGCUGUCUGUGAGCUGUGCCAGUGUGUGACUGCCUGAGCCACCUCUCACAUCUCCAUCACUGAGUACUUGCAGCCCCUGAACCCUAACAAGCUGCUUUGUCUCUGGAGUCCAGUCCCAGCCACUGUCCCUCUGUGGAGCUGGGAAUGGCGUCCAAGUUCCCCAGUGCGAGACCCUUUGUUCUGAGAUCACAGAGCACAGUGGAAACAAUGGGCGCCCAGGCAGCGUGGACCAGACCGGGAGCGUCUCGCUGUCUAACGAGCAGUCCAUAUUUGGGGGGUUGGAAGUACAGGUUCUGGGCUCUACUCUUAUGGUCAAGCUUUCUUAAUCACCGGCGAUUGCCUCUCCUUGUCUGAGCCUCCUUGUCUCCUUCCUUUUCCCAGCUGUCUGCUUUUCUGUUUCAGUCUUGGAAAUGUGCACACCAUUCUGCACUGGACAGCACAGGCUGAAAGAAGAAGAAUCUUACAUGGUCACCUUCGCCCACACAGUGCGGGCCAACGUGCCUUCCCCUUGCGGUGCGACGCCUGCGCGGCACCCAUCUCCCAGGGCUGGAGGGUCCUGGCCAGGAAGCCAUCGCCACCGCGUCCAGGUCAGGAGAAGGCUGCGGACCUGGUUCCGGCGGAGAAAGCAGCCAGCUCCGGGCCCCCAGGCUGCCCACGGAGUCGCUGGAGACUGGAGGAGCUCCUGACCCUCACCACCCAGACUCGAACUCACAGGAACAAGGGCAAGGCCACUGCGGGCCUCUGACAUCCGGUGGCCCCAGGGCUGAUGGAAGAGCUGCCUUUCCGCUGCAGGUCGAGUAGGGGGACGCCGCUGCUUCUGACCGUAUGGCGGACGGCUUCAGUAGCUCUCACGAUGCUGUCAUGGGGGGAAACGCGUUGUGGGUGUUUAGGAUAUGAACCUUUUGUGUGCCACUAGUUCGUAUAAGAUCAACUGCUUAUCAGUAGUUUGCCCGGAUUCGAGGAGCCAGAGAACGUUUUCGUACUGGAUCUGUCCUGCGAGUGGGCUUUGUCCUAUUGUCCCGUUCUGAUUUGGAUUGGGAAGGACAGCUCUUGCUUCUUACUGUACAGGCUUCAAAUAAAAGCAUUUGCUAUUC
RNAcentral lists this long non-coding RNA (1638 nucleotides) under Fukomys damarensis (Damara mole-rat). RNAcentral describes it as "lncRNA (ENSFDAG00000032251.1)". Lineage: Eukaryota; Metazoa; Chordata; Mammalia; Rodentia; Bathyergidae. The record is from RNAcentral.